GCGGCAACAGCUCAAAUUUGAAAUCUGGCGCAAGCCCGAGUUGUAAUUUGUAGAGGAUGCUUCUGGGUAGCGACCGGUCUAAGUUCCUUGGAACAGGACGUCAUAGAGGGUGAGAAUCCCGUAUGUGACCGGCCCGCACCCUUUACGUAGCUCCUUCGACGAGUCGAGUUGUUUGGGAAUGCAGCUCUAAAUGGGAGGUAAAUUUCUUCUAAAGCUAAAUACCGGCCAGAGACCGAUAGCGCACAAGUAGAGUGAUCGAAAGAUGAAAAGUACUUUGGAAAGAGAGUUAAAAAGCACGUGAAAUUGUUGAAAGGGAAGCGCCUGCAACCAGACUUCGCGGCAGUGUUCCGCCGGUCUUCUGACCGGUUUAUUCUCUGUCGCGAGGCCAUCAUCGUCUGGGCCCGCCGGAUAAGACCUUAGGAAUGUAGCUCACCUUCGGGGGAGUGUUAUAGCCUAUGGUGAUGCGGCGAGGCUCGGGCGAGGUCCGCGCUUCGGCAAGGAUGAUGGCGUAAUGGUUGUCGGCGGCCCGUCUUGAAACACGGACCAAGGAGUCUAACAUCUAUGCGAGUGUUCGGGUGUCAAACCCCUACGCGUAAUGAAAGUGAACGGAGGUGGGAACCGCAAGGUGCACCAUCGACCGAUCCUGAUGUCCUCGGAUGGAUUUGAGUAAGAGCAUAGCUGUUGGGACCCGAAAGAUGGUGAACUAUGCCUGAAUAGGGUGAAGCCAGAGGAAACUCUGGUGG
RNAcentral lists this ribosomal RNA (743 nucleotides) under Septoria pistaciarum. RNAcentral describes it as "eukaryotic LSU rRNA". It matches the Rfam family "Eukaryotic large subunit ribosomal RNA", at positions 98 to 870 of the family's 3401-position model. The record is from RNAcentral. Lineage: Eukaryota; Fungi; Ascomycota; Dothideomycetes; Mycosphaerellales; Mycosphaerellaceae.